AGAGUUUGAUCAUGGCUCAGAACGAACGUUGGCGGCGUGCUUAACACAUGCAAGUCGAACGAGAACGGUUUCUUCGGAGACCUAGUAAAGUGGCGCACGGGUGAGUAACGCGUAGAUAACCUGUCCAGGUGUUCGGGAUAGCCCUUCGAAAGGGGGAUUAAUACCGGACACGUUAGUUUGUCAUAAGACAGAUUAAGAAAGGUGGCCUCUAUUUAUAAGCUAUCGCAUUUGGAGGGGUCUGCGUACCAUUAGUUUGUUGGUGGGGUAAUGGCCUACCAAGACUUCGAUGGUUAGCGGGUCUGAGAGGAUGAUCCGUCACACUGGCACUGAAACACGAGCCAGACUCCUACGGGAGGCAGCAGUGAGGAAUAUUGCGCAAUGGGGGAAACCCUGACGCAGCGACGCCGCGUGGGUGAGGAAGGCUUUCGGGUCGUAAAGCCCUGUCAGAAGGGAAGAAAUGUGUAGUGGUUAAUAUCCAUUGCACUUGACGGUACCUUCAAAGGAAGCACCGGCUAACUCCGUGCCAGCAGCCGCGGUAAUACGGAGGGUGCAAACGUUGUUCGGAAUCACUGGGCGUAAAGGGCGCGCAGGCGGUUUGAUUAGUCAGAUG
This 610-nucleotide ribosomal RNA is filed under the name uncultured bacterium. RNAcentral describes it as "bacterial SSU rRNA". It matches the Rfam family "Bacterial small subunit ribosomal RNA", at positions 8 to 594 of the family's 1533-position model. The record is from RNAcentral.